Hemicordylus capensis (graceful crag lizard) is the source of this 1378-nucleotide long non-coding RNA. RefSeq lists it as uncharacterized. The transcript is spliced from 4 exons. NCBI's taxonomy places the organism in Eukaryota, Metazoa, Chordata, Lepidosauria, Squamata, Cordylidae. The record is from RefSeq and is a predicted model, not a curated record.
GUUUCAGACAGGGGAGGAGGGGCUGGAGGAAGCUCUCUGCUCUGGAAGAUUCCCUGGUUGCUGUGGAGCUGUGUGGCACCUUCCAGAUUUGGAGGAAGUGGUGCAAUCAACCACAAGAGAAUUAGGAGCAAGAUGCUUCAAUAGGCAUCGAGUCAGCCUCGGUAACAUGGCGUUUUGCCAACUUUGAGGUUCCUGGUGUCGAGACAGUUUCUCAUGUGCGAUGUGCACUGUCCGUCGAUGGUUUGGCUGUCUUUGAUAUCGAGGGAGAAGAUCUCAACAUCGAAGUCGACACCAUAGGCUUAUGUUGGGUCAAUGACGUCAAGGAAGCCCUCUGUACCACCCAAAAAUGUGUCCCUGAGAGUUGCACAGGCGGUGCACCCUUAUAUGUCAGCCACUGAAGGCAAAGUUAUCAGACCAGAGCUUCAAACAUAACUGGCACUAUAGCCACAGGUGAACAGUGUCCUGGACUUUAAAAGGUGCCAGCCUCCUGCAUGCCAGCUGUAGUUCUCCAGGGGAGUCCUCAUAUUUCUUCAAGUGCUGACUACAAUUUCCAAUAAUCCCAAUCUACUUGUUGUGAUACAAUAUAACAGUGGAAGUGGGGGGGGGAUAUUCUAAGAAUUUCUUCAGCAUGAUGUGACAUCACUUCUUCAGAUGAAGUAGUAAGGGCCAGAUGUCAGUGGUGAUAGCCAUACAAUUCAGCUCCAGAAUACGGACAGGUAAUGUCCCUUUCCUGCAUGGAGACUGCUCACACACUAUGUGGCAUCUGUUUUAUGCUGCGGAAUUGUGAUGUUCUGAAAGUAAUCUCCAUUACUGGAUGGUCUAACAAUCUGGAAUGAAGGACAUUCCUUUCCCUAAACCAAAGGAGAGUCAUUGUUCACCAUUUGAUUAAAAACAAUUAAGAGGAUUCAAAAAUGUCAAUAACAGAAUGGAAGGGGAACAAAUCAAGAGGCUUAGAACAAAACAGUAUCAAUAAACCAAAUAGUUACUGGAACACACAGAAAUGAAUGAGUUGCUGAAGACCGCCACAUAAAAAACAAUAAGCAAAGAAAAAACAACCAAGGUAGAAUGCACUCUCUCCCUGUACAGUUUACAAAAAUAUACUGAGAGAAAGGAAGCCAAGGUUUAAGAGCUAGUACCCAUAAUGAACCAGCAUGGCCAAAGAAAGCAACCACUUCAAGAGUGAGACUGAGCAGAUCAGUCUUAGCUGAAUGAGGCAUGAAAUACUCUUCAACAUCUACCCUUGGCCCUAAAAUACUUUAUGGCCAAGGGUAGAUUCUAAAAUUCCUAUCACCUAUUAACCAUGAUCCCCAGACCAAUUUUUAAAGAGACAAGAGGCAGGAUACAAUAGAGUUACAACAAUAGGAAGUCCAAAAUAAUA